GACCCAGUGGUGUAAUGCUCAACACGCCAGCUUUCAUUGUGGCCAUGAACAACCGUUGCGUAAGCUGGAGCUCCCCGUUCGACUCGGGGCUGGGUCA
Molecule: non-coding RNA, 97 nt
Organism: Mycena rebaudengoi
Lineage: Eukaryota; Fungi; Basidiomycota; Agaricomycetes; Agaricales; Mycenaceae
Source: the annotation of a GenBank genome assembly